CUGUAUGGAAGGGCCAUCGCUCAACGGAUAAAAGGUACUCCGGGGAUAACAGGCUGAUACCGCCCAAGAGUUCAUAUCGACGGCGGUGUUUGGCACCUCGAUGUCGGCUCAUCACAUCCUGGGGCUGAAGCCGGUCCCAAGGGUAUGGCUGUUCGCCAUUUAAAGUGGUACGCGAGCUGGGUUUAGAACGUCGUGAGACAGUUCGGUCCCUAUCCGCUGCGCGCGCAGGAAACUUGAGAAGGGCUGUCCCUAGUACGAGAGGA
This 263-nucleotide non-coding RNA is filed under the name Actinotalea ferrariae CF5-4. RNAcentral describes it as "Cellulomonas sp. Mn5-4 Bacterial large subunit ribosomal RNA". It matches the Rfam family "Bacterial large subunit ribosomal RNA", at positions 2429 to 2691 of the family's 2925-position model. The record is from Rfam by way of RNAcentral. Lineage: Bacteria; Bacillati; Actinomycetota; Actinomycetes; Micrococcales; Cellulomonadaceae.